Molecule: unclassified non-coding RNA, 964 nt
Filed under: Hevea brasiliensis (rubber tree)
Lineage: Eukaryota; Viridiplantae; Streptophyta; Magnoliopsida; Malpighiales; Euphorbiaceae
Source: RNAcentral
CUGGAGCCAAAGAGGUAACUUUCAGUCAAUAAUCUACUCUCCUCUACCAGAGUUUCUGGCCUUGAUUCUAUUGUUUGUUUGUUCUAAUUCUUUUUUUCUUUUUUAACCUUCCCUUGGUAAUCACUUUGAGAUGCAUAAUAUUCUACAAGAGUUAUGGGGGCUUUGUGUAAAACAGAAUAUAAUUGUUGGAUUUUAGAUUUUGCAAUCUAUGAUUCCUGUUUAUGAAAUGAAUUCCCGGUUAGUUAUUCUAAUUCUACUAUCAUGACUAGGCUUCUGCUUUGUGUUACCAUAAAGAUUUUGGAAUCAGCAAUGUUGCAUGUAUGUUUCUACAUUUAGGGAAUGCUUGUAUAUGUCAAGGAAAUGAGCUAUUGUAUGUGUUUGAUCUGACAUUUUAACUGAUAGGGAUAUGUUGGGGCAAGCGUUACAUUUGAUGUAUGUAUUCAAUUGGAUGGAUCAUAUGUAAUGUAGAAAUAAUAUCUUCUGGAAUAAAAUAUCUAUUUGAACCAUUCUACCAUUUGGCAAUAAAAUAUAUGUGACUUGAGCUUCAUUUGCCAUUUGUCUAACAAAUUUAACAGGUAAGGGAACACAUUUUUGUUGCAUAUGAAAACAGUAAUAACUUUUUCACUUCGAGGAUAACACUUUGCCUAUUUUCUUAUUUGGCUUGAUAGAUGUUUCCUGACUUUUGGAUAAUACAAAUGUUAAUGCACUUUAUGUUAAAUAUUUGACAUUCCUUCAAAAUUCAGUCUUUUUUCUCUACUUCUGAAAUAUGGGUUUGUUCUUUGAUGGCUUCAAGAAUAUAUCAAUAUAUUGUCUUUCCACGAGACAUUUAAUGUCCUAUUACCCAACAUUUUGUUGAACAAAGCAAUGCCAUGUAUGCUCCAAAUUUACUUUGUAUGUUUUUACCUUUAUUGUUACUUUAUUGGAGAAACAUCCAUGCAUGUUUUAAAACUUGAUAAGAUACUAG